This 75-nucleotide transfer RNA is filed under the name Clostridiales bacterium. RNAcentral's name for it is "tRNA-Thr". It matches the Rfam family "tRNA". Rfam says of the family: Transfer RNA (tRNA) molecules are approximately 80 nucleotides in length. Their secondary structure includes four short double-helical elements and three loops (D, anti-codon, and T loops). The record is from RNAcentral. Lineage: Bacteria; Bacillati; Bacillota; Clostridia; Eubacteriales.
GCUACUGUGGCUCAGUGGCAGAGCACCACCUUGGUAAGGUGGGGGUCGCGAGUCCGAUUCUCGCCAGUAGCUCCA